RNAcentral lists this ribosomal RNA (253 nucleotides) under uncultured bacterium. RNAcentral's name for it is "partial 16S ribosomal RNA". It matches the Rfam family "Bacterial small subunit ribosomal RNA", at positions 524 to 776 of the family's 1533-position model. The record is from RNAcentral.
UACGUAGGGACCAAGCGUUGUUCGGAUUUACUGGGCGUAAAGAGCGUGUAGGCGGUCCGGUAAGUCCGCUGUGAAAGUCGGGGGCUCAACCCUCGAAUGCCGGUGGAUACUGUCGGGCUAGAGUGCGGAAGAGGCGAGUGGAAUUCCUGGUGUAGCGGUGAAAUGCGCAGAUAUCAGGAGGAACACCUAUUGCGAAGGCAGCUCGCUGGGACGUAACUGACGCUGAGACGCGAAAGCGUGGGGAGCAAACAGG